CUUGCAGGGUACUCGAGUGGCGAACGGGUGAGUAACACGUGGGUGAUCUGCCCUGCACUUCGGGAUAAGCUUGGGAAACUGGGUCUAAUACCGGGUAGGAACCAUCUUUAGUGUGGUGGUUGGAAAGUUUUUUCGGUGUAGGAUGAGCUCGCGGCCUAUCAGCUUGUUGGUGGGGUAAUGGCCUACCAAGGCGGCGACGGGUAGCCGGCCUGAGAGGGUGUACGGCCACAUUGGGACUGAGAUACGGCCCAG
This 252-nucleotide ribosomal RNA is filed under the name uncultured Actinomycetales bacterium. RNAcentral's name for it is "partial 16S ribosomal RNA". It matches the Rfam family "Bacterial small subunit ribosomal RNA", at positions 79 to 334 of the family's 1533-position model. Lineage: Bacteria; Bacillati; Actinomycetota; Actinomycetes; Actinomycetales. The record is from RNAcentral.